AACCUCCGCAAUGUGAGAAAUCGCGACGGGGGGAUCCCAAGUGCCAUUCUUAACGGGAUGGCUUUUCAUUAGUGUAAAGAGCUUUUGGAAUAAGGGCUGGGCAAGACCGGUGCCAGCCGCCGCGGUAACACCGGCAGCUCUAGUGGUAGCAAUUUUUAUUGGGCCUAAAGCGUCCGUAGCCGGUUUAAUAAGUCUCUGGUGAAAUCCUGUAGCUUAACUGUGGGAAUUGCUGGAGAUACUAUUAGACUUGAGACCGGGAGAGGUUAGAGGUACUCCCAGGGUAGAGGUGAAAUUCUGUAAUCCUGGGAGGACCGCCUGUUGCGAAGGCGUCUAACUGGAACGGUUCUGACGGUGAGGGACGAAAGUUAGGGGCGCGAACCGGAUUAGAUACCCGGGUAGUCCUAACUGUAAACGAUGCGGACUUGGUGUUGGGGUGGCUUUGAGCUGCUCCAGUGUCGAAGGGAAGCUGUUAAGUCCGCCGCCUGGGAAGUACGGUCGCAAGACUGAAACUUAAAGGAAUU
Molecule: ribosomal RNA, 521 nt
Filed under: uncultured bacterium
Lineage: Bacteria
Description: bacterial SSU rRNA
Rfam family: Archaeal small subunit ribosomal RNA
Source: RNAcentral